AUGAAUGAUGUCAUAGAGGUCAGCGACGGCGAGGAAGAGGGGAUGGCCGUGGAUGUCAACAACGGGGAGAGCGGGGAGGAGGGCGUUCCUCCGGUCCCGACUCCUAGCAAGUGUGCGGUGCGGGUGGUGACCGGCAAGAGGGGUGUUGCAGACGAGAUUAAGGACUCCGAUGGAGGUGGUGGACGGGACCAUGGGAGCGUUUGCUGUGAUGGCAAUGUGAUUCUGGACGACGAUGAUGUUUUGAUCACGCCGCGAGGCAAGAAGCACGCAGCGGCACGGGUAAUCAGCGACAGUGAGAGCGAGGAUGAAGAUGAGAAGGUGGGUGUUAGAAGCAGCAGGAAGCGUGCGUUGCGUGGAGUCAGUGACAGUGAGAGUGAAGAUGGCAGUGAGGGUGUUCCUGUGGUGAAUCAAAAACCUGUUUCACCUCUAGUUACGACAGGGGUUGAGAGUGAGGAUGACGAUGGUGAAUUAUGUCAGAUGGAGGGGCGUUCUACUCCGGCAACAAGGCGCUUCGCUCGGUUAACUAAAGGUCAAUCAAAGAGAAUGCGACCUACACGUCGGGAACUUGAGUUUAUUGAACCCAAGAAUCAUGAAGAGAGCGAGGAUGAUUCAGAAGAGGAUGAUAAUUUGGAAAAUUUUAUAGUAGAUGAUUCAGAUUGUUCAGAAAACUCUGCUGAUUCUGUUGAAGAAUCCUCUGCUGGACCAGAAGAGUCUGACAACGAGGAAACUUAUAAAGAGCUUAUGGAUAGGAUACGCGGCAAAAGGAAUGCCAAGAAUAAGGAUUGGAAGAUUGAGCUAGAGAUGCUAUCAGCAUUUGAUGAAUACCCUGAACUUCGCCUGAAAGCUGUUUGUGCCCUCUAUCGAAAGCAGACCCAGGAAGAACAGGCAGGAAAAUUUACUAUCAUGCACAACAAAAAAGGAUACCAGAUAGACGCCCGAAGGGGUUCCCACAUAGCGCAGUUUCUUCUGGAUGGUGAUGCUGCUGGGCCGCUUAAGAAGACUGCACAAGACUUGGAAAAUUACGACCGGUAUGCUCUUGAGUUCUGUCACAAGAUGGCUUUACGUUACUCGAAGCAGUUCUUUGCAAUAUAUCAGAAUAAGGAGGACCCCUACUUUCCAUGA
This 1122-nucleotide ribosomal RNA is filed under the name Triticum aestivum (bread wheat). Its description in RNAcentral is "partial small subunit ribosomal RNA". Lineage: Eukaryota; Viridiplantae; Streptophyta; Magnoliopsida; Poales; Poaceae. The record is from RNAcentral.